RNAcentral lists this ribosomal RNA (1403 nucleotides) under uncultured bacterium. RNAcentral's name for it is "bacterial SSU rRNA". It matches the Rfam family "Bacterial small subunit ribosomal RNA". The record is from RNAcentral.
AGAGUUUGAUCCUGGCUCAGGAUGAACGCUAGCGACAGGCUUAACACAUGCAAGUCGAGGGGCAGCGGGGAGGUAGCAAUACUUCCGCCGGCGACCGGCGCACGGGUGAGUAACACGUAUGGAACCUGCCCGUAGCAGGGGGAUAAACGGAAGAAAUUCCGUCUAAUACCGCGUAAUAACUCCGAGAGGCAUCUCAUGGAGUUUAAAGGGUAACACCGGCUACGGAUGGCCAUGCGGCGCAUUAGCUAGUUGGCGGGGUAACGGCCCACCAAGGCGACGAUGCGUAGGGGUUCUGAGAGGAAGGUCCCCCACACUGGUACUGAGACACGGACCAGACUCCUACGGGAGGCAGCAGUGAGGAAUAUUGGUCAAUGGGCGCGAGCCUGAACCAGCCAAGUCGCGUGAGGGAAGACGGUCCUAUGGAUUGUAAACCUCUUUUGUCGGGGAGCAAAAGACGCCACGUGUGGCGUUCCGAGAGUACCCGAAGAAAAAGCAUCGGCUAACUCCGUGCCAGCAGCCGCGGUAAUACGGAGGAUGCGAGCGUUAUCCGGAUUUAUUGGGUUUAAAGGGUGCGCAGGCGGAAGAUCAAGUCAGCGGUAAAAUUGAGAGGCUCAACCUCUUCGAGCCGUUGAAACUGGUUUUCUUGAGUGAGCGAGAAGUAUGCGGAAUGCGUGGUGUAGCGGUGAAAUGCAUAGAUAUCACGCAGAACUCCGAUUGCGAAGGCAGCAUACCGGCGCUCAACUGACGCUCAUGCACGAAAGUGUGGGUAUCGAACAGGAUUAGAUACCCUGGUAGUCCACACAGUAAACGAUGAAUACUAAUUGUUCGGGGAGAAUGAUCCCUGAGUGAUACAGCGAAAGCGUUAAGUAUUCCACCUGGGGAGUACGCCGGCAACGGUGAAACUCAAAGGAAUUGACGGGGGCCCGCACAAGCGGAGGAACAUGUGGUUUAAUUCGAUGAUACGCGAGGAACCUUACCCGGGCUCAAACGACACAGGAAUACUUUUGAAAGGAGGUAGCUCUACGGAGUCUGUGUCGAGGUGCUGCAUGGUUGUCGUCAGCUCGUGCCGUGAGGUGUCGGCUUAAGUGCCAUAACGAGCGCAACCCCCAUCGCCAGUUACCAGCAAGUCAAGUUGGGGACUCUGGCGAGACUGCCGGCGCAAGCUGUGAGGAAGGCGGGGAUGACGUCAAAUCAGCACGGCCCUUACGUCCGGGGCGACACACGUGUUACAAUGGCAGGUACAGAGAGAAGCAAUGCGGCGACGCAAAGCGGAACUUGAAAGCCUGUCUCAGUUCGGAUUGGAGUCUGCAACUCGACUCCAUGAAGCUGGAUUCGCUAGUAAUCGCGCAUCAGCCAUGGCGCGGUGAAUACGUUCCCGGGCCUUGUACACACCGCCCGUCAAG